GAUGAACGCUGGCGGCGUGCCUAAUACAUGCCAGUCGAGCGAACAGACGAGGAGCUUGCUCCUCUGACGUUAGCGGCGGACGGGUGAGUAACACGUGGAUAACCUACCUAUAAGACUGGGAUAACUUCGGGAAACCGGAGCUAAUACCGGAUAAUAUAUUGAACCGCAUGGUUCAAUAGUGAAAGACGGUUUUGCUGUCACUUAUAGAUGGAUCCGCGCCGCAUUAGCUAGUUGGUAAGGUAACGGCUUACCAAGGCAACGAUGCGUAGCCGACCUGAGAGGGUGAUCGGCCACACUGGAACUGAGACACGGUCCAGACUCCUACGGGAGGCAGCAGUAGGGAAUCUUCCGCAAUGGGCGAAAGCCUGACGGAGCAACGCCGCGUGAGUGAUGAAGGUCUUCGGAUCGUAAAACUCUGUUAUUAGGGAAAAACAAAUGUGUAAGUAACUAUGCACGUCUUGACGGUACCUAAUCAGAAAGCCACGGCUAACUACGUG
This 497-nucleotide ribosomal RNA is filed under the name uncultured bacterium. Its description in RNAcentral is "partial 16S ribosomal RNA". It matches the Rfam family "Bacterial small subunit ribosomal RNA", at positions 28 to 507 of the family's 1533-position model. The record is from RNAcentral.